UAGCCAGGGCCCCACCCUGGACACUCUGCACUCCACCUCCCAGUCUCCAGCAACCCUGCCUCUGCAGGCCCCUCACCAGGCCUCACACACUCUCUGUCUGCGUUCUUUUUUGAGUCAAUAUGUCUUCUGGAGUCACAGCCCCAGAUCUCAGCAGUCAUUCUGUUCUGUCAUUCUGUGGCUCAGGACCACAUUUACACAUAGAGAUCUCACACGUACACACACACAAUUACACCGUCACGGGCAAACAAAUUGAUACAUGGCCCACUGUUACAAGCCUUCAAAAUGCAGAUACAUACCUAUGUGACCCCAUCUUCCUACACACACAGACACUAUUAGAUUCAUACAGACACAGACACAAUCUGCACACAAACGCAGAACAUAUUAAUUCAAAAGACACACCCACCGUGUGUUCAUAUAGUCCUUGUGUGUGUUCACUCAAGACCAGACAUAUCCAUGGAAACCCUGCCAGGAAGGCUUAGCCUGGCUCCAGAGAGGCCAGCAAGGGCCCUCUCGACACAUUCAACACCUCAGGGAUCCCUGAACUUCCCCGCUAGGAACACUGGCUGGGUCAUCAGCUCUGUCCUAACCCAGCUAGACUCCAAGGUGACCCAGAGCAGGCAGGCUGACUGCUGGGGCUGUAACGGGACCUGGUGAUGCCUCUACAAGCUCCAGGCCAAGAGAACAACAGCUCAUUCCUGAGAUAAGGAUCCUGCUGCCAUCUGCCAGAUCCUGAGGCGGCUCAAGACAAGCCAGGGAUGAACCAGAACUCGGCUGAGAGCAGAGGCUCCACCCUGGAGAAGCACCGCUGGAAGCACCCACGCAGGGAAGGACUCUCCAUGCCAUAGGAGCCUGCCAGGCAGAAGGCACUAAGGAAGUACUAUAGGGAAUGAGAGAGGAGAGCCCGGAGAGAGGGAAGAAAGGCAAAGUGGAAGAGAGAGCUGGAUGGGAGACUUGUGGAGAGACAGGAAUGGAGGAAUCACAAUGGACUCUCCAAGGAAGAGGACAGUGGUGACUUCUUGCCCCCACAAAAGCUGGCCAUGCUUUAUGGGGUGUCAUCUCAAUAGUGGUGCCUACUCUCUGCUUGUAAAUUCUUUCGGAAUCUUCAAGGUGCUUCCAGAACUCCUGACCCUCCCUCUGGAGGUAAGGGAGGGGAGAAAAGGCGGCUCCAGCUGAGGGUAUUGAUGUGUUAAUGCAGCCAGCAUUGAGUUGUCCUCACACACCCACUGACACACCAUACAGGGGGAAGUCCAGGUCCCCACAGCACAGCUGGAGCCUGCGAGUGGACUUUGCCAGCCCUGCUCUCACCAGACAGAGAGGGGCUGCAGCUAUCCUGCCAGAAAUGUCCUCAUUCCCACACAGGCACACACACCCACACACUCACAUACACAUUCACGCUCACACAAAGGCUGAAAAUGUCGCCCUGUCUUCCCACAUUCCUCCUUCAUGCCCCUUCACCCCAAAUCCAGACCGCAGGAGGGACUCAGCCAUUUCCAGCCAUGUCAGCAUAGAAUGUCCCUUGGUGGAACUUGCCCCAACCUGAGCAGGAAGCCACAAUGUCCAAACUUGAGCCCUGCCCUGUGGACCUGUCCCGGUGGGGUGAGAAGUCUCUGGAGUUGCCAUCCCCGCCACCCUCAGGCCUCAUCCUGGAGUGGGGCACGGCCCUCCCGUAGCACAGGGUGCCCAGGGCUGUGAUCUCAGGCCUGAGCUCUCACUGGCCAUGAAGGAAGCAAGCACUCAGACUUACAUCAGCCUUAGUCUCUUGCCCUUUCAAGGCAAGCGACUCCCCUGCCCCUUGGCCCUGGCCUUAGGAGAGAAGGAGUAGUGCUGGGAAUAGCACACAGUCUGAUGAAAAUUGAUCCUUCCCAAGCUCCUCCUGAGCCCUCACCCAAUGCCCGUGCUCACCUCCCUCCUACCCCACCUCCAGCUCCUGCAGAGCAAUCCAUCCCUCUCCUCCUAUUCACAGCACAAGUUUGCAGGGCACCUGCACACAUGUGUGAGCCCAACAGGGGACACAUAAAGAUCCACUCAAAGACCUCCACACCACAGACACCCACCCUGAACCUCAGGCACAGGGUCUCCUGGGGAGAGGUCCCCUGGCAAUACCCACACCCGGCUGCAGCAGGGCAAGGGUGGACAGCACUCUGCCAGGCAUCUCAGGCAGCCCCAGGCUCUGCUGUGAGCCCUCACUGCCCCUUUCCUGUCCACUUGGCUUCAUGCUGGCUAUCCCUGCCCCCUGCCCAGCCCCGUACCUGGGCUCAGGCACACGAGUAGAAGGUGGAAUGCUCCUCCAA
Macaca mulatta (Rhesus monkey) is the source of this 2291-nucleotide non-coding RNA. The record is from RefSeq and is a predicted model, not a curated record. Lineage: Eukaryota; Metazoa; Chordata; Mammalia; Primates; Cercopithecidae.